UUUUAUUUUUCUCUUUCCUGGCAAUUGGCAUAAUGCGACUUGUUUUGCAAAUCAAUUACAUACAACUAGUUGCUUAUUGUUAUUUAGCUGUGUAAGCAUUGAAUGAACAAGGUGUAUUAUGCCUGCGUCCACACUGGCCUGGUCAGGAUGUCAGCAACUUGCUUAUUGAACCAUUCUAGCUGGUCUAUAACAAGGUGUAUUUUCUUGCUUGUGCAACUCUCUCUCAACCUCUGCUUCUCUGGAAAACUGUGUCACUGUAACCUCUUUUGCAUGCCCUUCUUUUCUUUCCUUUUUCCUCUUCCUUAAGUUUCCUUUGUACUCUGUUAGCGGAAAUUGACAAGUGUUCCCAUGUUUUUCUUUGGAUUUUUGGCUUGAGACUUUGAUGCUUUCUUUGGUGUCAUCACUGUGCUUGUUUUUUUGAAUUUUUUUGAGGAUUUGGCGAUGUGUAGAAUAGUUCUCGAGCGUUUCUUUGAUUUGGGUUUUCGUUUUGACGUUUCUUGUGAUUUUCUCAGCGAUGUUUAACUGGAACGACGAAGAGCUUACAGAUAUAAUAUGGGAUGCGGCUGGUGAGAGUGAUGACCAUAUUGUGCCCUAUCCAGAGGCAAGUGAAGAGUAUUCCAAGAAUCAGUGGAGUCAAGAAGCUAAUAACUCUAAGUUUAAUGAACAGAAGGCACCUGGCGCUAAAGUUGAUAUCCAUGGCAGGAACCUGGACGGCAAUUUAAACUUCGACUCCAGUGAAGGACCUUCUGCCACUGGAUUUGGCAUAGACUCAUGGCCUCACCUGUCCUUAUCAACUGCUGCCAAAGCUGAUCAGCAUUCCUUGGAUACGUCAAUAUCUAACAAUUUAACUGAAAUUACAAAAUUUGAUUCUUCCGGAGGUGCAGAGACAGUUCAACUUGAUAAGGAGACUGAAAUUUUUCAAAAAGUUAAAGAACAAGGUGAUUUCGUUGAUUAUGGCUGGGCUAACAUUGGAAGCUUUGAUGACCUUGAUCGAAUUUUUAGGUAAAGAACAAUAUCUGUUUCUUUCUCCCUUCUAAUGUGCAGCAGGCAGCUGUCAAUGGGCAUUUCCAGAGGAAGGGGGAACUUAAACUGAGUCCCCCAACUCCCCAUGCCUUAAAGGUGUGAGUAGUAACAAUCAGGCCAUACCUGAUUAAUUUCUGCUCCUUAAUGAAGCAUUGUCUUGACAACAUCAUGAUUUGGAACCUAAAUAGUUUUUAAUUAUAGAUGAAACAUUUUAUUGACUGUUUAUUUUGAAUUCAGAAAAUUGAAAAUUAAGCAUGUCAUAGAAUAGUUCUGCCAUCAUGGAGAGACCGCCAGUCUCUUUAGAAUGUAGUUUGACCUGAACUUCUCGCAUCUGAGUCAUUUGCUCUAAAUUUAUCUGAACAAUUUGUUUGGAAUUUGGUCAACAUGUCAGUGGUAGAAGCCUGGAAGGAUUUCCUGCUCUUGUAUUCUUCUCUUUCACUAUGCUCCUAUACCUUUUUUUUCCCCAUUCCCCUUUGCAAUGAUAACCAUCUGACUCAACAUCCUCACAAGUGGUGAUUUUGCAGCAAUGAUGAUCCUAUAUUUGGCACCGUAAGUCUCAGUAAUGCUGAUGAGCUCUGGUCUUCUUCUAAAGAUGCAACUAACAGUCCAGGAAAGUCCUUUCCCAUUUAUGCGGGCUCUCCAUCUUUGGGGUUAGGGCCUUUAAAGAAUACAUCUGAGAAUUCGGAGAUUAAAUCUGAGUGUGUACAAGAUGAUGACCACACAUAUACACUUGACUAUGGGAAACUGAAUGAUCCUGCAUCUCAUGGUCUGCAGAAUGCAUGUGCUGUCCUGGAUCAUGUAAAAUAUGCUGGAGGUAAAAGUAAGCCCACGGUGAAGGAGCAGAAUGAUUUGACCAUAAUGGGAAAGAACACUGCAGUAAACUCUCAGCGUACUGUGGAAAAUGUUGCUGCACCAAAUGAAUUGGCAGAUAAGGUUUAUAAGCAAAAGAAACCCUUGAAACGUCAGAAAAGGUUUGAAGAACAAAGUGA
RNAcentral lists this unclassified non-coding RNA (2012 nucleotides) under Hevea brasiliensis (rubber tree). Lineage: Eukaryota; Viridiplantae; Streptophyta; Magnoliopsida; Malpighiales; Euphorbiaceae. The record is from RNAcentral.